UUGAGGUUAUCGGGAGAUCUCUUAUGAGAGCCGAAGAAGAAAUACUAUAUGCUCAUCCAGCCUAUAUGUAGAAGCUUUCAGGCAACAGGACCGGUAACUGAUG
RNAcentral lists this non-coding RNA (103 nucleotides) under Acetoanaerobium sticklandii. Its description in RNAcentral is "Clostridium sticklandii Glycine sequence". It matches the Rfam family "Glycine riboswitch aptamer". From Rfam's summary of the family: This family represents the bacterial glycine riboswitch. RNAcentral also lists the same sequence under 1 other name. Lineage: Bacteria; Bacillati; Bacillota; Clostridia; Peptostreptococcales; Filifactoraceae. The record is from RNAcentral.